UACGACGGGGGCUAGCGUUGUUCGGAAUUACUGGGCGUAAAGCGCGCGCAGGCGGCUUUCCAAGUCAGUGGUGAAAGCCCGGAGCUCAACUCCGGAAUUGCCAUUGAAACUGUAAAGCUUGAGUACGAGAGAGGUGAGUGGAAUUCCCAGGGUAGAGGUGAAAGUCGGAGAUAUGGGGAAGAACACCGGUGGCGAAGGCGGCUCACUGGCUCGUUACUGACGCUCAGGCGCGACAGCGUGGGGAUCAAACAGG
RNAcentral lists this ribosomal RNA (253 nucleotides) under uncultured bacterium. Its description in RNAcentral is "partial 16S ribosomal RNA". It matches the Rfam family "Bacterial small subunit ribosomal RNA", at positions 524 to 776 of the family's 1533-position model. The record is from RNAcentral.